Molecule: transfer RNA, 74 nt
Filed under: Rhodospirillum sp.
Lineage: Bacteria; Pseudomonadati; Pseudomonadota; Alphaproteobacteria; Rhodospirillales; Rhodospirillaceae
Also listed under: 11 other names
Description: tRNA-Gly
Rfam family: tRNA
About the family: Transfer RNA (tRNA) molecules are approximately 80 nucleotides in length. Their secondary structure includes four short double-helical elements and three loops (D, anti-codon, and T loops). Further hydrogen bonds mediate the characteristic L-shaped molecular structure. tRNAs have two regions of fundamental functional importance: the anti-codon, which is responsible for specific mRNA codon recognition, and the 3' end, to which the tRNAs corresponding amino acid is attached (by aminoacyl-tRNA synthetases). tRNAs cope with the degeneracy of the genetic code in two manners: having more than one tRNA (with a specific anti-codon) for a particular amino acid; and 'wobble' base-pairing, i.e. permitting non-standard base-pairing at the 3rd anti-codon position.
Source: RNAcentral
GCGGGUGUAGUUCAAUGGUAGAACAUCAGCUUCCCAAGCUGAAUACGGGGGUUCGAUUCCCCUCACCCGCUCCA